Non-coding RNA from Heterocephalus glaber (naked mole-rat), 127 nucleotides. The record is from Ensembl. Lineage: Eukaryota; Metazoa; Chordata; Mammalia; Rodentia; Bathyergidae.
ACUGGAGGAUCAAGAAGGCGGAGUCUGAUGAAGCAAGACUUUGCUGAUACACUCCUCCUAGAGAACCGGGUCGGAGAGAGCAGCCCAAAUUGGAGAGCCAUGGGGCUGACUGUACUACCCAACAUUC